GACGAACGCUGGCGGCGUGCCUAAUACAUGCAAGUCGAACGCUUCUUUCCUCCCGAGUGCUUGCACUCCAUUGGAAAGAGGAGUGGCGGACGGGUGAGUAACACGUGGGUAACCUACCCAUCAGAGGGGGAUGACACUUGGAAACAGGUGCUAAUACCGCAUAACAGUUUAUGCCGCAUGGCAUAAGAGUGAAAGGCGCUUUCGGGUGUCGCUGAUGGAUGGACCCGCGGUGCAUUAGCUAGUUGGUGAGGUAACGGCUCACCAAGGCCACGAUGCAUAGCCGACCUGAGAGGGUGAUCGGCCACACUGGGACUGAGACACGGCCCAGACUCCUACGGGAGGCAGCAGUAGGGAAUCUUCGGCAAUGGACGAAAGUCUGACCGAGCAACGCCGCGUGAGUGAAGAAGGUGUUCGGAUCGUAAAACUCUGUUGUUAGGGAAGAACAAGGACGUUAGUAACUGAACGUCCCCUGACGGUAUCUAACCAGAAAGCCACGGCUAACUACGUG
RNAcentral lists this ribosomal RNA (508 nucleotides) under uncultured bacterium. RNAcentral describes it as "partial 16S ribosomal RNA". It matches the Rfam family "Bacterial small subunit ribosomal RNA", at positions 28 to 507 of the family's 1533-position model. The record is from RNAcentral.